GUGCCAGCAGCCGCGGUAAUACGAGGGGAGCUAGCGUUGUUCGGAAUUACUGGGCGUAAAGGGCGUGUAGGCGGUACCAUAAGUCAGAUGUGAAAGCCCUAGGCUUAACCUAGGAGGUGCAUUUGAUACUGUGGAACUAGAGAUCGAGAGAGGAAAGUGGAAUUACGAGUGUAGAGGUGAAAUUCGUAGAUAUUCGUAAGAACACCAGUGGCGAAGGCGACUUUCUGGCUCGAUACUGACGCUAAGGCGCGAAAGCGUGGGGAGCAAACAGGAUUAGAUACCCCGGUAGUCC
RNAcentral lists this ribosomal RNA (292 nucleotides) under uncultured bacterium. RNAcentral describes it as "partial 16S ribosomal RNA". It matches the Rfam family "Bacterial small subunit ribosomal RNA", at positions 505 to 796 of the family's 1533-position model. The record is from RNAcentral.